AGUGAACGCUGGCGGUAGGCCUAACACAUGCAAGUCGAACGGCAGCACAGUAAGAGCUUGCUCUUACGGGUGGCGAGUGGCGGACGGGUGAGGAAUACAUCGGAAUCUACUUUUUCGUGGGGGAUAACGUAGGGAAACUUACGCUAAUACCGCAUACGACCUACGGGUGAAAGCAGGGGAUCUUCUGACUUUGCGCGAUUGAAUGAGCCGAUGUCGGAUUAGCUAGUUGGCGGGGUAAAGGCCCACCAAGGCGACGAUCCGUAGCUGGUCUGAGAGGAUGAUCAGCCACACUGGAACUGAGACACGGUCCAGACUCAUACGGGAGGCAGCAGUGGGGAAUAUUGGACAAUGGGCGCAAGCCUGAUCCAGCCAUACCGCGUGGGUGAAGAAGGCCUUCGGGUUGUAAAGCCCUUUUGUUGGGAAAGAAAAGCAGCAGGUUAAUACCCCGCUGUUCUGACGGUACCCAAAGAAUAAGCACCGGCUAACUUCGUG
This 492-nucleotide ribosomal RNA is filed under the name uncultured bacterium. Its description in RNAcentral is "partial 16S ribosomal RNA". It matches the Rfam family "Bacterial small subunit ribosomal RNA", at positions 29 to 507 of the family's 1533-position model. The record is from RNAcentral.